RNAcentral lists this ribosomal RNA (304 nucleotides) under uncultured bacterium. RNAcentral's name for it is "bacterial SSU rRNA". It matches the Rfam family "Bacterial small subunit ribosomal RNA", at positions 28 to 330 of the family's 1533-position model. The record is from RNAcentral.
GAUGAACGCUAGCGGCAGGCUUAAUACAUGCAAGUCGAGGGGCAGCGCGGGUAGCAAUACCUGGCGGCGACCGGCAAACGGGUGCGGAACACGUACAGAACCUUCCUUUAAGCGGGGGAUAGCCCAUAGAAAUGUGGAUUAAUACCCCAUAGCAAUAUUUGAUGGCAUCAUUAGAUAUUUAAAGAUUUAUCACUUAAAGAUGGCUGUGCGGCUGAUUAGGAGUUGGUGCGGGUAACGCCCACCAAGCCAUCGAUCAGUAACUGGUGUGAGAGCACGACCAGUCACACGGGCACUGAGACACGGG